This 559-nucleotide ribosomal RNA is filed under the name Latilactobacillus curvatus. RNAcentral's name for it is "bacterial SSU rRNA". It matches the Rfam family "Bacterial small subunit ribosomal RNA", at positions 81 to 626 of the family's 1533-position model. Lineage: Bacteria; Bacillati; Bacillota; Bacilli; Lactobacillales; Lactobacillaceae. The record is from RNAcentral.
UAACAUUUGAGUGAGUGGCGGACGGGUGAGUAACACGUGGGUAACCUGCCCUAAAGUGGGGGAUAACAUUUGGAAACAGAUGCUAAUACCGCAUAAAACCUAGCACCGCAUGGUGCAAGGUUGAAAGAUGGUUUCGGCUAUCACUUUAGGAUGGACCCGCGGUGCAUUAGUUAGUUGGUGAGGUAAAGGCUCACCAAGACCGUGAUGCAUAGCCGACCUGAGAGGGUAAUCGGCCACACUGGGACUGAGACACGGCCCAGACUCCUACGGGAGGCAGCAGUAGGGAAUCUUCCACAAUGGACGAAAGUCUGAUGGAGCAACGCCGCGUGAGUGAAGAAGGUUUUCGGAUCGUAAAACUCUGUUGUUGGAGAAGAACGUAUUUGAUAGUAACUGAUCAGGUAGUGACGGUAUCCAACCAGAAAGCCACGGCUAACUACGUGCCAGCAGCCGCGGUAAUACGUAGGUGGCAAGCGUUGUCCGGAUUUAUUGGGCGUAAAGCGAGCGCAGGCGGUUUCUUAAGUCUGAUGUGAAAGCCUUCGGCUCAACCGAAGAAGUGCAU